GACGAACGCUGGCGGCGUGCUUAACACAUGCAAGUCGAACGAUGACGCCCGAGCUUGCUCGGUCUGAUUAGUGGCGAACGGGUGAGUAACACGUGAGCAACCUGCCCUUCACUCUGGGAUAACCUCGGGAAAUCGGGGCUAAUACCGGAUAUGAGCUCCUGUCGCAUGGCGGGUGUUGGAAAGUUUUUCGGUGAAGGAUGGGCUCGCGGCCUAUCAGUUUGUUGGUGAGGUAGUGGCUCACCAAGGCGAUGACGGGUAGCCGGCCUGAGAGGGCGACCGGCCACACUGGGACUGAGACACGGCACAGACUCCUACGGGAGGCAGCAGUGGGGAAUAUUGCACGAUGGGCGAAAGCCUGAUGCAGCGACGCCGCGUGAGGGAUGACGGCCUUAGGGUUGUAAACCUCUUUCAGCAGGAAAGAAGCGAAAGUGACGGUACCUGCAGAAGAAGCGCCGGCUAACUACGUG
RNAcentral lists this ribosomal RNA (467 nucleotides) under uncultured bacterium. RNAcentral describes it as "partial 16S ribosomal RNA". It matches the Rfam family "Bacterial small subunit ribosomal RNA", at positions 28 to 507 of the family's 1533-position model. The record is from RNAcentral.